This 913-nucleotide ribosomal RNA is filed under the name Collybia nuda. Its description in RNAcentral is "LSU rRNA". It matches the Rfam family "Eukaryotic large subunit ribosomal RNA", at positions 36 to 928 of the family's 3401-position model. Lineage: Eukaryota; Fungi; Basidiomycota; Agaricomycetes; Agaricales; Clitocybaceae. The record is from RNAcentral.
UAGCAUAUCAUAAGCGGAGGAAAAGAAAACUAACAAGGAUUCCCCCUAGUAACUGCGAGUGAAGCGGGAAAAGCUCAAAUUUAAAAUCUGGCGGUCUCUGGCCGUCCGAGUUGUAAUCUAGAGAAGUGCUAUCCGCGCUGGACCGUGUACAAGUCUCCUGGAACGGAGCGUCAUAGAGGGUGAGAAUCCCGUCUUUGACACGGACUACCAGGGCUUUGUGAUGUGCUCUCAAAGAGUCGAGUUGUUUGGGAAUGCAGCUCUAAAUGGGUGGUAAAUUCCAUCUAAAGCUAAAUAUUGGCGAGAGACCGAUAGCGAACAAGUACCGUGAGGGAAAGAUGAAAAGAACUUUGGAAAGAGAGUUAAACAGUACGUGAAAUUGUUGAAAGGGAAACGCUUGAAGUCAGUCGCGUUGGCUGGGGAUCAACCUUGCUCUUUUGCUUGGUGUACUUUCCAGUUGACGGGUCAGCAUCAAUUUUGACUGGUGGAUAAAGAUCAGGGGAAUGUGGCAUCUUCGGAUGUGUUAUAGCCUUUGGUUGCAUACAUCAGUUGGGAUUGAGGAACUCAGCACGCCGCAAGGCCGGGUCUUUGACCACGUACGUGCUUAGGAUGCUGGCAUAAUGGCUUUAAUCGACCCGUCUUGAAACACGGACCAAGGAGUCUAACAUGCCCGCGAGUGUUUGGGUGGAAAACCCGGACGCGUAAUGAAAGUGAAAGUUGAGAUCCCUGUCGUGGGGAGCAUCGACGCCCGGACCAGACCUUUUGUGACGGUCCCGCGGUAGAGCGUGUAUGUUGGGACCCGAAAGAUGGUGAACUAUGCCUGAAUAGGGUGAAGCCAGAGGAAACUCUGGUGGAGGCUCGUAGCGAUUCUGACGUGCAAAUCGAUCGUCGAAUUCUGCGGUAUCAGGGGUUGAAA